UCUUUAGCUUCAGCAUUUUUCCCCCCUGCUGUGUAGGCUCUUCAUUUCGGAGCACAGGCUUCUCCUGUUGCAGAGCAUGGGCUCUAGAGGGUUCAGUCGUUGCGGCACAUGGCUCUCUUUAGUUGUGGCACAUGGGCGUAGUUGUCCAUGGCACGUAGGAUCUUAGUUCACUGACCAGGGCUCAAACUCUGGUCCCCUGCUUUGGGAGCACAGAGUCUUAGCCACAGGGAAGUCCCAUCACUGUUAUUUACUGAGUGUCUACUAUAGUCUGACAUCAGUGAACGCAUUUAAUCUUUCCAAUCACCUCACAAGGUUAUUGAGCUCUUAUGUGCCAAGACUGUAUAAAAGUAUUUUAUAUUUAUUACAUGUGUAUGUAUGUUUAUGUAUAUUAACUCAUUUUACCUUCAUGAACCACCUUAUUUCAUAGAUGAGGAAACUGAGGCAGAGACACUAAAUUACAUGCACAAGGCUUGCCUAGUUAAUAAAGAUUGGGGUCAGGAUUUGAACUCUGGCAGUCUAAUUCCAGAACCUAUAUCAUUCUUGACACCCUCCCUUCCUAAGUGCAGUUUUGUAGAUGGCAAACUGAGUCAGAGAGGCCAGGUCACAUGACUAGCACUUCACAGAGCUGAAUCCAGAAACCUGGCUCCUGUUCCAGCCACUGUGCCUAUUACCCGGUAAACUGCCUGUGAUGUAAAUCACAAAGACUUCAAAGCUAAAAGUCUCCAGGCCCUGAAACUAUGAUGUAGCAAGCUCCACCACACCCGGGUUCCUAUCUCAGGCAAAGAGGGACUUGGUCAUUGACGGUUUUGGGAUCUUCUGCCUGGCCGCCCCAGCUCCAAUGCUCUUCUGAAAAUUGUUUCAGGUAGACAGCAAAGGGACUCAGCCAUACAUCUUUUUUUUUUUUUUUUUGCUGCACUGGGUCUUCGUUGCUGUGAGCAGCCUUUCUCUAGUAGCGGAACAGUUGUCAGUUGAAGACACUCAUCAUCAAUUACAGGAAGAACUGUCAGUUAAAGACCCUAAUGGAAGAACCAUGGACUGGAAAGAAUCAUCAGUUAUAGGUCCCAAGAGGAAAAGAAGUACAUUUCAUCUCCUAGAAGAAAUCCAUUACCCCAGCAACUCGGACAGUGAGAAGCCAUCAUUACCCUGAACUCUCACUUUUCUCCAGUGGACAUUCCUUCAGAACAACCCCUCCCAAUGUCUUCCCUUUUUUCCCUAUACAAUAACCUUCUCUGUUUGUUGGCCUUGCCUAUGGCUUUUGCUAUAACUUCCUUGUUCUCUGCUCUUCCUGAAUAAAUCUAUUCUUGCUGGUAAAAAUAA
This is a long non-coding RNA of Bos taurus (domestic cattle), 1317 nucleotides long. The record is from Ensembl. Lineage: Eukaryota; Metazoa; Chordata; Mammalia; Artiodactyla; Bovidae.